CAUGUCUUUUAGAAAAUAAUUUAAAGUCUAACCUGCCCAAGGGCCGCAGUUUUUGACUGUGCAAAGGUAGCAUAAUCAUUAGUCUUUUAAUUGAAGGCUUGUAUGAAUGGUUGGAUGAAAUAUUAACUGUCUCAAAUUGAUAAGAAUUUAAUUUUUAAGUUAAAAAGCUUAAAUAAUAUUAAAGGACGAGAAGACCCUAUAGAUCUUUAUAUUUUUAUUUUUAAUUUUUAUUUAGAAUAAAAUUUUUAAUAAUAAUGGGGUGAUAAUUAAAUUUACUUAACUUUAUUUAAUAAAAACAUUAAUUAUGAAUAAUUGAUCCAUUAUUAGUGAUUAAAAGAUUAAGUUACCUUAGGGAUAACAGCGUAAUUUUUUUAGAGAGUUCUUAUCGAUAAAAAAGUUUGCGACCUCGAUGUUGAAUUAAAGAUUAAUUAGUUUAAAUGUUUGGUCUGUUCGACCAUUAAAUCUUUACAUGAU
This 474-nucleotide ribosomal RNA is filed under the name Neoneuromus niger. Its description in RNAcentral is "Neoneuromus sp. 2 FY-2017 partial 16S ribosomal RNA". The stretch from base 354 to 474 matches the Rfam family "Bacterial large subunit ribosomal RNA", at positions 2473 to 2604 of the family's 2925-position model. Lineage: Eukaryota; Metazoa; Arthropoda; Insecta; Megaloptera; Corydalidae. The record is from RNAcentral.